CCUUGAUACCGUAACUUCGGGAGAAGGUAUGCCCCGGUAGUGUGAGGCGCCUGCGCGCUGAGCAUGAUGGGGUCGCAGAGAAUCGGUGGCUGCGACUGUUUAUUAAAAACACAGCACUCUGCAAAGACGAAAGUCGACGUAUAGGGUGUGACGCCUGCCCGGUGCCGGAAGGUUAAGUGAUGGGGAGCAAGCUCUUGAUCGAAGCCCCGGUAAACGGCGGCCGUAACGAUAACGGUCCUAAGGUAGCGAAAUUCCUUGUCGGGUAAGUUCCGACCUGCACGAAUGGCGUAACGAUGGCCACACUGUCUCCUCCCGAGACUCAGCGAAGUUGAAGUGUUUGUGAUGAUGCAAUCUACCCGCGGCUAGACGGAAAGACCCCAUGAACCUUUACUGUAGCUUUGCAUUGGACUGUGAACCGGCCUGUGUAGGAUAGGUGGGAGGCGCUGAAACCGAGUCGCCAGAUUCGGUGGAGCCAACCUUGAAAUACCACCCUGGUUUGUUUGCGGUUCUAACCUUGGUCCGUUAUCCGGAUUGGGGACAGUGCAUGGUGGGCAGUUUGACUGGGGCGGUCUCCUCCCAAAGCGUAACGGAGGAGUUCGAAGGUACGCUAGGUACGGUCGGAAAUCGUGCUGAUAGUGCAAUGGCAUAAGCGUGCUUGACUGUGAGACUGACAAGUCGAACAGGUGCGAAAGCAGGACAUAGUGAUCCGGUGGUUCUGAAUGGAAGGGCCAUCGUUCAACGGAUAAAAGGUACUCUGGGGAUAACAGGCUGAUACCGCCCAAGAGUUCAUAUCGACGGCGGUGUUUGGCACCUCGAUGUCGGCUCAUCUCAUCCUGGGGCUGUAGCCGGUCCCAAGGGUAUGGCUGUUCGCCAUUUAAAGAGGUACGUGAGCUGGGUUUAAAACGUCGUGAGACAGUUUGGUCCCUAUCUGCCGUGGGCGUUGGAUACUUGACGGAGCCUGCUCCUAGUACGAGAGGACCGGAGUGGACGUACCUCUGGUGUACCGGUUGUCAUGCCAAUGGCAUUGCCGGGUAGCUAUGUACGGAAGAGAUAACCGCUGAAGGCAUCUAAGCGGGAAACUCGUCUGAAGAUUAGGUAUCCCGGGGCCUCGAGCCCCCUGAAGGGUCGUUCAAGACCAGGACGCUGAUAGGUCAGGUGUGGAAGCGCAGUAAUGCGUUAAGCUAACUGAUACUAAUUGCCCGUGCGGCUUGAUCCA
RNAcentral lists this ribosomal RNA (1216 nucleotides) under metagenome. RNAcentral's name for it is "bacterial LSU rRNA". It matches the Rfam family "Bacterial large subunit ribosomal RNA", at positions 1720 to 2925 of the family's 2925-position model. The record is from RNAcentral.